AUGACUGCUCUGUUCCCUUCUUGCAGAACUGUGGCCAGCGCACCAUUGCUUCCGACCUCACGCAGCUGCCACGCGCACGCGCUUCAGCUCCGGCGUCUGGCACGGCGCCCACGCUUCCGCGUACGGCGACGGGGCCGGCUGGCCUCUCCACACCUGCGACGGCUGCGCCGGUGCUGCUGCUGCUGUGCGCUCCGUCACCCGCACUGUCGUGGCCGUCUCUGCUUCCGCGUCCGACAGGCGCCACACCUUGACCGACCCGUCCAGGCUUCCGCUGUACACCACGAACCGCCGAUCACCGCCCGAACCGGCGGCCGCGGCCUCCUCGUCCAUGGCGACGCACUUCACGGGCCCGGUGUGUCCGGCCAGAACGGCGAGACCCACGUGCUCUGCCCCGUCGCGACGCCACACGCAGAGGGUCCGGUCGGCCGAGCCGCUCACGACGACGUUGCCGGCCACCGCCAGGCACAUCACCGCCAUCUUGUGGCCCUUGAGCACACCACCAUAUCUCGCCUCGCCGUCGACCCAGUGCCAGUAGGUGACCAGCCCGUCCGACGAGCCCACGUACACGACGCGGUCCUCGGGCGACACGGCGAUGGCGGUGACCGCGCCCUCGCCCUUCCUCAGCACCUUCUCCAGGACAUGCCUCGUCGCGUCGCCCUUCGCGGCCAUCUCCCGCCGCCACACCUUGACGGUGCCGUCGGCCGACCCGGUGAACACGACGCUGUCGAACCCGGCGGCGGCCACGGUGUUGACGGCGUCGUCGUGCGCGCUGACGGACUCGAGGCACUUGGAGUCGGACACGCGCCACACCUUGAAGGUCCUGUCCCACGAGGCCGAGUAGAGCAGCCCGGCGCCCUCGUCGAGGCUGAGGGAGGACACGGCGUCGCAGUGCCGAAGCCACACCGCGCGCUGGCGCCCCCGGCGCUGCGUCUCGACGUAGCUGGUGGGGUUGACGGCGCUCUUGAGGUAGUCCUUGAGCUUCGGGAGCGACCCCACCUGGCGGUGCACGGCGGGGUUGUCCGCGUCGGCGCGCCACACGCGCACCUUGCCGUCCUGAUGGCCGGUGAAGAUGCGCCGGUCGCCCGCCACUACGAUGGCCUUGACGAGGCCGCUGGCGGUCCUGAACCCGGCGAGCUCGCGCUGGUCCCGCCACACGCGCACGUUCCGGGAGUCGGUGCCGGUGUAAAGAACGUCGCCGGUCGCCGCCAGCGAGUAGACGUGGCCGUCCUCCUUGACCAGCGACGCGAUGAGGUCCGUGGCCCCCGGUUCGGCAACAUCACCCCCGGCGCCGAGGCCCGGGAGGUGCGCCCACGGCGACCUGGGCGUGGGCGGGGUGGAGGAGCCGCCGUAGCGGGACGGCGAGGCGUCCCCGUCCGUGGUGGGGUAGGACGAGCAGCUGUACCCGUCAUCGUCCGACACGGAUGCGGAGGAGGAGGAGAAGGACCUCGGCGAGCAGGCGGCCACCGCGGCCGGGUCCGGCCGGAGGAAGUGGAGCAGCUUCUGGUGGUUACCCAUGGAUCGAUGCCACAACAACUCACAGAACAAACGAUCGAUCAGAUGAUGAUUUGCGCUGCGCCGAGCGGCUGGGUCCUUUUUACGGCCUGCGUCGGAAGGAAAGCCGAGACCGAAAGGGAGGAGAAGAAGAAGCUUGCGAGGCUGGAGAAGAUGGACUGA
This 1674-nucleotide ribosomal RNA is filed under the name Triticum aestivum (bread wheat). RNAcentral describes it as "partial small subunit ribosomal RNA". The record is from RNAcentral. Lineage: Eukaryota; Viridiplantae; Streptophyta; Magnoliopsida; Poales; Poaceae.